CUAGGAAUUAUGCACAAUGGCCGAAAGGCUGAUGCUGCGACAUCGCGUGGAGGAUGAAGGUCUUAGGAUCGUAAACUCCUUUUAUCUACGAACAAGUUCUGAGUGUAGUAGAUGAAUAAGUGCCUGCCAACCACGUGCCAGAAGCAUCGGUAAUACGUGGGACACAAGCGUUACCCGGAUUCACUGGGCGUAAAGAGAUGCGUAGGCGUCUAGAAAAGUUCUGUGUUAAAUCUCAAGGCUCACCCUUAAAACUGCAUAGAAAACUCUCUGGAUUGAGUCAUGUAGAGAAGAAGGGAAUUCCUGGUGGAGCGGUUAAAUGCGUUGAUAUCAGGAGGAACACCAAUGGCGAAAGCACUUCUUUGGACAUGUACUGACGCUAAGGCUCGAAAGUGUGUGGAGC
Molecule: ribosomal RNA, 400 nt
Filed under: uncultured bacterium
Lineage: Bacteria
Description: bacterial SSU rRNA
Rfam family: Bacterial small subunit ribosomal RNA
Source: RNAcentral